This 69-nucleotide transfer RNA is filed under the name Sudis atrox (fierce pike smelt). Its description in RNAcentral is "tRNA-Phe". Lineage: Eukaryota; Metazoa; Chordata; Actinopteri; Aulopiformes; Paralepididae. The record is from RNAcentral.
GCUCACGUAGUUUAAUUUAAAACUUAACACUGAAGCUGUUAGAAUAGAACCUAAAAAGUCUCGUGAACA